Molecule: small nuclear RNA, 107 nt
Organism: Meriones unguiculatus (Mongolian gerbil)
Lineage: Eukaryota; Metazoa; Chordata; Mammalia; Rodentia; Muridae
Source: RefSeq, a predicted model, not a curated record
GAGCUCAUUUUGGCAGCACAUAUACUAAAAGUGGAACUAUACAGAGAAGAUUAGCAUGGCCCCUGCACAAGGAUGACACCCAAAUUUGUGAAGCAGUUCAUAUUUUU